Long non-coding RNA from Papaver somniferum (opium poppy), 3111 nucleotides. RefSeq lists it as uncharacterized. The transcript has 8 exons. NCBI's taxonomy places the organism in Eukaryota, Viridiplantae, Streptophyta, Magnoliopsida, Ranunculales, Papaveraceae. The record is from RefSeq and is a predicted model, not a curated record.
CUUCCUCAUGUCGUUCAGUUUCAGAAGAGGGGAAAACAUUGGCGAUUAACUGAAUCGCAAGGAUAGUUAGUAGUAUUUGAUUUUGGUUUAACUGAUUUAUUGUAUUGAAGAUGAACUCUAAUUAUUCAUCAAUGACGACGACGGGAAAGGAAAAGUGGUAACAUUGAUAAGGGAAAAAUCAGAUUUAGAGAUAUAAAUUGUUAUUGCAUUGAGAGUAAGAUUGAGUUUGCUUUCAAACAAUUAGAAAGAGAUAAGAUCAGUUUGAGGAUAUUUUCGCAAAUGAGGCAGAAAGUUAUGUUUGGAAGAUAUAGAUGAUGUUAUUUUACUAUGGAUGUCAGAAAAUGGAGUUCCAUGGACUCUAAAGAAUGAUCAUGCUUUCUGUUGGUUUUGGGAGAAUGCUGCAGUAAACAGCAAUGGUUGUAUUCAGUUGCUUGUCAAGGUUCAGAAUCCAGAAUGGGAUAAGGAACACACACCUAAGAAAACUGCAUCAAAGUCACCUCAAGUGAGAAGAAUCCCAAGACUUGAAGGUAAGAAAAACAAAAGUGUAGGUGGUUCUAGUGCUAGGAAGUUGUUUGGGCAGGAUUUUUCACAACAUACUCAAGCAAGUGUAUUUGGUGACAACUUGAGAGGAGGAACAAGUAGCAAACCAGUUCUAGUAGAUGAGGAACCCGUGCAAGUAGAUGAUGAUUGGGAUGAGGACUAUUGGUUACAGAAAUUGAAAGAAAAUGAUGAGAUUGUAUUUCAACUUGAGAACAAAUAGGUGGAUGAGUGUCACCCUGUCGAAGAUCCUGAAGCUGCAGCUGCUUAUAAUAGUGAUGAAGACAAUGAAGAUGCAAGUGAUGCUGAACAUGUUGGAGAUGAAGACGAUUCAAGUUAUGAUGGUGCAGAAGUAAACGAGGAAGGUGAAGAUGUUGAAGAAGACCCUCAGUGGUUCAAGGAUCAUGUGGCUGAAAAUUCAGAGUUAGAGGAUGAACCUGGUGAUCUGUUUGAUGACACAGACCUUGUUGAACCAUUGGAUCCUUCACAAAUGAUUGAAGGUACUGAAUUUCCUGAUAAAAAAGCAUUUCAAAGGCAUUUAAAGCAUUUUUCUGUAUUAAGUGAAUGUGAGUAUAAGGCUGUAAAGAGUGACAAGUCUAGAGUUAGGGUUUGGUGUGCAAAGAGGUUUAACCGUGGGGGCCGUGUUGUUUGUCACUGGAUGGUUUUUGCUUCAAAACUAAAACACCAGUCUACAUUUAAGGUUAAGGGUAUGAACUUAAAGCAUAAUUGCAAGGGGGUUGUAUAAGACAAGGUGAAGAAUAGAUCUGCAAGACAAGUUGAAGAGCAGCUCUGGAAAUGUAAUUCCAAGACCUAGGCAGAUUCAAGAGGAUUUUAUGGCCUCUCAUCUCAUUGAUAUUCCUUACCAUACUGCAUGGAAAGCCAGGAAUUUAGUAUUGGAAGCUAAAUAUGGAAGUUAUGAAGACAGUUUCAAGGAUGUUCCCCAGCUAUGUAAGAUGGUGUGUGACUCCAACAAAGACUCAGUUGCUAAUGUUUCAUACUGCAAGACUGACAUGGCAUUUGAGUCCGUGACAGUAAGCUUUGCUGGAGCUAUGAAAGGAUGGAAAAAGGGGGUAGAUCAGUUAUUGGGUUAGAUGCUUGUCAUGGAAAUGGUAAGUAUGGUGGUGUGUUGAUGGCUGCAACAGGGUUAGAUGGUCAAAAUGGAUUAGUCCCAUUAGGAUUUGGACUUUUCAAAUCUGAGACAAUUGAGAAUCGGAUGAUAUUUCUCACUGACUUGAAGCCAUUACUCGAAGGCCAUCCAAUGCCAUUGACAUUCAUUUCAGAUAGGCAGAAAGGACUACUUGAAGCUGUUCCUGCUGUGUUCCCAAAAGCACAUGUUAGAUAUUGUUGGAGGCACUUUUAUAGCAAUUUCAAGAAGCACUACAAGGGACAAAAGUUGUAUAGCUCACUGUGGAAUGCAGCCAAAUGCUACAAGAAGAAACAUUUCUACAAACACAUGGAAGAUAUAAGGAAAGAAAAUCCUGCAGCUGCCAAGUACCUUGAAGAUGCCGGUGUUGAGUCAUGGUCUAGGGCGUUUUUUGAUGACACCAGUAAUGUGAACACCUAAAUAACAAUUUUAGUGUGUCAUUUAAUUCCAUGAUAAAAAAUAUUAGGGACAAACCCAUCUGUUGAGUAAUAAUUCUUUAUAAUCAGUUGGUUAGGAGUUUGGUUUACCAAAGGAAAAAGGAGAGUGCAAAAUGGAAUCCUAAAGAUUUGGUUCCAACUAGAAUGAAACUGAUUGGGAAGAUGUCGAAGUUGGUUGGUGCAUUUCAAGUUGACCCUUGUGUUUUUGGAAAACUGUUUGAGGUUACAAAUGUAGGAAGCAAGGCAGUUUUUAUUGUUAACUGUUUGAGGUUACAAAUGUACUUGUCUACAAUGGCAACUCAGAGGAUUUGUUUGCCAACAUGCUGUUUUUUGUUUGAAGACAUUUAGACCUGAUUGGACAAAAUACUGCUGUCACUAUUAUACAUUUGCUACAUAUAGAGUUAUAUAUGCACCAACUGUGUUUCCAUUUCCUGAUAAAGAAGAUUGGCCUGAGUUGGAAGAAGAUGAAAAGAUUGAUUUGGAACCUUCACUGAAGACAAGGAAAACAGGAAGGCCAAGAUCUAAGAGGAGGAGAGCAUGGGAUGAGCCUAAAGCACAGAAAAAGACAUAUUCAUGUAGAAUAUGUGGUUCAACUGGUCAUAACAAAGCUACAUGUGCAGGUGGUGAUGUUGGUCAGAAUCCUAAAGCAAAGAGGCAAAGAACUCAAGUGGAUGGUUCUACCUUCACCAAAUUUGAAAGACCUGUUGCAUCUAUUUCUAAGGCUAAACAAGCAUCUCAACCAUCCAAUAUUUCAAAAGCUGCAGCUCCAUCUAGUAAUAAAGCAGGUAGAACUUCAAAGAAGUAGAAAAUGACUCAAGCAAAGAAGUGAAUGGUUGCAGUUUAGUCAUGUAGUUUGCAAUAGUAUUUAUGUCUUAUUUUUAUGGGAUGAUCUGUUUUUUGGUUGAUGAAAACUCUUCGUACUACAGUUUCUUUAAUUGAAACUUUAUGUUAUUUUGGAACAUACUUAUUUAUGAAAUGAAGAUUGUUUACAUA